GAAUUCGCCCUUAGAGUUUGAUCCUCUCUCAGGACGAACGCUGGCGGCGUGCCUAACACAUGCAAGUCGAACGGAGUUGAAAGGAGCUUGCUUUUUUCAACUCAGUGGCGGACGGGUGAGUAACGCGUGAGUAACCUGCCUUUCAGAGGGGGAUAACGUUCUGAAAAGAACGCUAAUACCGCAUAAGAUUGUAGUUUCGCAUGGAGCAGCAAUCAAAGGAGCAAUCCGCUGAAAGAUGGACUCGCGUCCGAUUAGAUAGUUGGCGGGGUAACGGCCCACCAAGUCGACGAUCGGUAGCCGGACUGAGAGGUUGAUCGGCCACAUUGGGACUGAGACACGGCCCAGACUCCUACGGGAGGCAGCAGUGAGGGAUAUUGGGCAAUGGGGGAAACCCUGACCCAGCAACGCCGCGUGAGGGAUGACGGUUUUCGGAUUGUAAACCUCUGUCCUCUGUGAAGAUAGUGACGGUAGCAGAGGAGGAAGCUCCGGCUAACUACGUGCCAGCAGCCGCGGUAAUACGUAGGGAGCAAGCGUUGUCCGAAUUUACUGGGUGUAAAGGGUGCGUAGGCGGAUUGGCAAGUCAGAAGUGAAAUCCAUGGGCUUAACCCAUGAACUGCUUUUGAAACUGUUAGUCUUGAGUGAAGUAGAGGUAGGCGGAAUUCCCGGUGUAGCGGUGAAAUGCGUAGAGAUCGGGAGGAACACCAGUGGCGAAGGCGGCCUACUGGGCUUUAACUGACGCUGAGGCACGAAAGUGUGGGUAGCAAACAGGAUUAGAUACCCUGGUAGUCCACACUGUAAAC
RNAcentral lists this ribosomal RNA (800 nucleotides) under uncultured bacterium. Its description in RNAcentral is "bacterial SSU rRNA". It matches the Rfam family "Bacterial small subunit ribosomal RNA", at positions 1 to 807 of the family's 1533-position model. The record is from RNAcentral.